Molecule: ribosomal RNA, 254 nt
Filed under: uncultured bacterium
Lineage: Bacteria
Description: partial 16S ribosomal RNA
Rfam family: Bacterial small subunit ribosomal RNA
Source: RNAcentral
UACAGAGGGUGCGAGCGUUGUUCGGAAUUACUGGGCGUAAAGCGCGCGCAGGCGGCCCUUUAAGUCCGUCGGUCAAAUGCCGGGGCUCAACCCCGAGCGUGCCGAGGAUACUGGAGGGCUGGAGACACGUAGAGGCAAGCGGAAUUCCGGGUGUAGCGGUGGAAUGCGUAGAGAUCCGGAAGAACACCGGAGGCGAAGGCGGCUUGCUGGGCGUGAUCUGACGCUGAGGCGCGAAAGCUAGGGGAGCGAACGGG